CCCCGCCCUUUUACUUUGCCAAUUGGACUUAGGUCUUUAUGGUGAUUCAAGUGGGGCAAAGGAAAUAUCCUUUUAAAACUCAAGCAAACUGAGUGUCUUGUAUUCUGUCAGGGGAAACAAAU
Phyllostomus hastatus (greater spear-nosed bat) is the source of this 122-nucleotide small nucleolar RNA. RefSeq annotates it as small nucleolar RNA SNORA27. The record is from RefSeq and is a predicted model, not a curated record. Lineage: Eukaryota; Metazoa; Chordata; Mammalia; Chiroptera; Phyllostomidae. The transcript has a single exon.